This 1922-nucleotide long non-coding RNA is filed under the name Citrus sinensis (sweet orange). RNAcentral describes it as "long non-coding RNA (CSIN_LNC000621)". The record is from RNAcentral. Lineage: Eukaryota; Viridiplantae; Streptophyta; Magnoliopsida; Sapindales; Rutaceae.
CAACAAAUCUUUCAAAACCCCUAUUGAAGCCAAGAUCAAACUCUCAGUUGAGCCAUGCAAAAUUAUCGAAACAAAUGAUCACGUGCUCUUCUUCUGCUGGUUCUGAAGAGACUUCCUCUUCUUCUGGCAAGGCCGCCAAGCCGCUCCAGGCUUUCUCAGCAGCCCUUGCGCUUUCCUCAAUUCUGCUAUCAGCCCCACAGCCCGCAGUUGCCGACAUCAGCGGCCUCACCCCCUGCAAAGAGUCCAAACAAUUCGCCAAGCGCGAGAAGCAGCAGCUCAAGAAGCUCGAGUCUUCACUAAAACUGUACGCUCCCGACAGCGCCCCGGCUCUCGCAAUCAAAGCCACCAUGGAGAAGACGAAACGGCGGUUUGACAACUACGGGAAGUACGGGUUGCUGUGCGGGUCAGAUGGGUUGCCGCAUCUGAUUGUGAGCGGUGACCAGAGGCACUGGGGUGAGUUUAUCACUCCGGGGUUGUUGUUUUUGUACAUAGCUGGAUGGAUCGGGUGGGUUGGCAGGAGCUACUUGAUCGCCAUUAGCGGUGAAAAGAAGCCGGCCAUGAAGGAGAUCAUCAUUGAUGUUCCUUUGGCUUCCAGGUUGGUCUUCAGAGGUUUUAGCUGGCCUGUUGCUGCUUACAGAGAGUUCGUUAAUGGUGAACUUGUUGUCAAGGACGUUUAAUCAUUCUAUCUAUUUCUAUCUCCUCUGGUAAUCUCAAUUUCUUUGUUGUAAUUUUUCAUUUCCAUUUUUAUUAUGUGUCAUGUGUUGUUGCUUACUUGCCUGUGUAAUUUGAGGCCGUGUGAUUUAUCAUGGAAUUAUCAAUUAUGGAUGUACUUGAAUAAUGUUAAAACUUCUCAUGGAAAGUUCAUACAAAGACAUGCAAAUUGAUAAGGUGCGGUUUUAUGUGUGUGUCUGUGUGUGAGGUCCGAAUGUUACAUGAAUAAACAUCAAACUAUUACUACCCAUUGUUUAUUGUUUCUUAAUCGUAUCUUUAGCGAAGUCUUAUUAGUAAUCAAAAUUAAAUAUUUGGAUCAUAAUUUAUGAUCAGGAUAAGAGAUGAUCUAUCAUAGUUGUGGCCUGGGGUGUAUGGAAUGUGAAGUUCUAGUCAAGGGUAGCUGGGUUGUUGUAUUUUAAGUUGAUAUGAAUUUUGUUCUUGGACACACAAGUGGGACUGCAGAGCAUGGGACAGACAGAAAUGGAGGAAUAAUCGAUAGCCGGACUGAGGGAAAUUUUAUGUAUCUAAAGUUUGUAAACUUGAUUAUAUGUAAUUCUGGUGAUGUUUUUUUUUAUACUGAUCCUGAUCCUGAUCCUGAUAAUUGAGUGCAGCAAAUCUUGGGUUUUAUGGUUGUGAUUGGUGAUUUUAGCAAAGGAUAGGAAUAGAUGUGAAAUUAAAUCUUAAUCAUGGAUAGUUGCAAAUGUACAUGUGACGAGAUUUGCACAUUCAGUCACUUGUUCAUAAAAUUGAUUGAUAUAAUUUUUGUUCUUGGACACAGGAGUGGGACUCUACAGAGCAGGGGGCUGACAGAAAGGGAGGAAAUAUGAAAGCUGGAUGCCUGGAUUUCUGGGAAUUGGUUGAGGAAUGGGGAGAGGGAAAUUUUAUGUGUCUAAAGUUUGUGAAUUUGAUUAUGUUGAUUGAUACUGAUCCUGAUCCUGAUCAAAUCAAACUCAAUUCCCGUUUGCUCUUCACAUUCACGUGCCACUCUUUAUCUCCAUGUUAUUUUUACGUUGGAAGAAAACAAAAGAAAAAGAAAGAAAGAAAGAAAUGACAACAGAAGAAAAUAGAGAGUAAGCAUUAGCUCAAAAUGGUGUUUAAUUAAGUGGGAGACGGAAGGUAAUGUGUUAAAAAAGUGAUGAUACAGUUAUAAAUUUUUGUAUAAAUUUAUUUUGUAUAAAAUGACGUGACAUUAAUUCAUUGAUUGAAUAAAA